RNAcentral lists this long non-coding RNA (280 nucleotides) under Phaseolus vulgaris (common bean). Its description in RNAcentral is "long non-coding RNA (PVUL_LNC001489)". The record is from RNAcentral. Lineage: Eukaryota; Viridiplantae; Streptophyta; Magnoliopsida; Fabales; Fabaceae.
ACGGUUUCUUAGAGUUCUUGAGUUUUCUCUUAGUAUUUGGUGGUUCAGUCGCUGACUUGGGCGUCGGAGCGUGAUCGGCCGCAGCGGCGCCGUUCUGUCUUUUGCAGGUUCUUGAGGUGGAUCGCGGUGAAGGACGGAGGCUAACACGGCGCAGAAGUCGAUCCAGGUUUGACGAGGCAAAGCUCUUGCGUUCUGGUCAGCAGGCAGGAUUAGCAGCAAUUUCUUCCUUUUUUUUUAAAUGUUGAUGGUGUCAUAGUCUUUCCAUAACACCGUACUCUCC